RNAcentral lists this ribosomal RNA (458 nucleotides) under Theileria annulata. RNAcentral describes it as "SSU rRNA". It matches the Rfam family "Eukaryotic small subunit ribosomal RNA", at positions 486 to 984 of the family's 1831-position model. The record is from RNAcentral. Lineage: Eukaryota; Apicomplexa; Aconoidasida; Piroplasmida; Theileriidae.
CGGGGCUUGAAGUCUUGUAAUUGGAAUGAUGGGAAUUUAAACCUCUUCCAGAGUAUCAAUUGGAGGGCAAGUCUGGUGCCAGCAGCCGCGGUAAUUCCAGCUCCAAUAGCGUAUAUUAAAAUUGUUGCAGUUAAAAAGCUCGUAGUUGAAUUUCUGCUGCAUUGCUUGUGUCCCUCUGGGGUCUGUGCAUGUGGCUUUUUUCGGACGGAGUUUCUUUGUCUGAAUGUUUACUUUGAGAAAAUUAGAGUGCUCAAAGCAGGCUUUCGCCUUGAAUAGUUUAGCAUGGAAUAAUAAAGUAGGACUUUGGUUCUAUUUUGUUGGUUUUAGGUACCAAAGUAAUGGUUAAUAGGAACAGUUGGGGGCAUUCGUAUUUAACUGUCAGAGGUGAAAUUCUUAGAUUUGUUAAAGACGAACUACUGCGAAAGCAUUUGCCAAGGAUGUUUUCAUUAAUCAAGAAC